UACGGGGGGGGCAAGCGUUGUUCGGAAUUACUGGGCGUAAAGGGCUUGUAGGUGGCCAACUAAGUCCGACGUGAAAUCCCUAGGCUUAACCUAGGAACUGCGUCGGAUACUGGAUGGCUUGAAUCCGGGAGAGGGAUGCGGAAUUCCAGGUGUAGCGGUGAAAUGCGUAGAUAUCUGGAGGAACACCGGUGGCGAAGGCGGCAUCCUGGACCGACACUGACACUGAGGAGCGAAAGCCAGGGGAGCAAACGGG
This 253-nucleotide ribosomal RNA is filed under the name uncultured bacterium. Its description in RNAcentral is "partial 16S ribosomal RNA". It matches the Rfam family "Bacterial small subunit ribosomal RNA", at positions 524 to 776 of the family's 1533-position model. The record is from RNAcentral.